GGUUUCAUAACUCAAUUUGUUCUUAAAGACCUUUCUAUUUCUCUCCGUUCCAAUUCAAGACCCUUUUGAUUCUUCCUCACCUUUUGUCGCCACUGUUGCUCUAAAACUUUGAUGGGUUCUCUCUAAUUCCAACUCUUCUGCAUGGGGUCUUUCUGGAGCUGCUGAGCUUUUUGACUUGAGGGGGCUCAAAGCAAUUAAUAUUCAAGAUGAGGACAGGAUAUCCAUCAAUCCAUCAUCUUGAACUGAGGAGAAUAUUUCAGAUGUUGAAAAUUUCAAUACUGAACUGAUAAAGCUAACUGAAGCUUCCAUGCCACGCGAAUUGAAUAUCAAGCAUAAGACAAAGUAAGAUGAGGAGAGCAUUAAGGGGAAGGUUGGUUGGUAUCUAAAGAUCUGAGGGUUGAAGAAGGUUAGCUGGUAUCGCUGGGCUGAGUUAAGCUUGCUAUCCUUAAGAUAAUGGCACCUUCUACGCGAAGACCUUCAUCUCAAGCAGUAGCAAUGGCCAAAAGAAUG
Molecule: long non-coding RNA, 510 nt
Filed under: Rosa chinensis
Lineage: Eukaryota; Viridiplantae; Streptophyta; Magnoliopsida; Rosales; Rosaceae
Description: sRNA RchiOBHm_Chr7g0223861
Source: RNAcentral